Molecule: ribosomal RNA, 332 nt
Filed under: uncultured Chloroflexota bacterium
Lineage: Bacteria; Bacillati; Chloroflexota
Description: bacterial SSU rRNA
Rfam family: Bacterial small subunit ribosomal RNA
Source: RNAcentral
CGUGCAGGCGGUCUGUUAAGUCUAGGGUGAAAGCUCCCGGCUCAACUGGGAGAGGUCCUUGGAUACUGGCGGACUUGAGGGAGGUAGAGGAGAGUGGAAUUCCCGGUGUAGUGGUGAUAUGCGUAGAUAUCGGGAGGAACACCAGUGGCGAAGGCGGCUCUCUGGGCCUUACCUGACGCUGAGACGCGAAAGCGUGGGGAGCGAACCGGAUUAGAUACCCGGGUAGUCCACGCCGUAAACUAUGGACACUAGGUGUGGGGGGUAUCGACCCCCUCCGUGCCGAAGCUAACGCAAUAAGUGUCCCGCCUGGGGAGUACGGCCGCAAGGCUAAA